AGCGCCCCGCCCUGCCCGCCCCCGCUCACGCUCACCGUCCGCCCCGGCGCGUACGCCCCCGGCGCUGCUGCGGCGGCGGGCUUGGGAGGGGGUCGAGGGAGCGGGAGCUUGGGGUGGGCUUCGGGAGCACAGGGAACGGCGGCAGCCGGGAGGUCGCAGCGUGAGAAGGCCGCCGGCUCCCGAGAAAUCCCCCUCCUCCAGGAGAGAGUUCAAUUUUAAGGUUGGAAGGAACCCUAUAGAUCAUUUAGUUCAUCUCCCUCGUUUUACACAUGAGGAAAAUGAGGCACGGAAAGUGUGGUUUUGUCCUGUUGGAUCAAUUAUCUAACCUGGGCCGGGACUCCGUCUACCACUGUGUUGCCUGGUUCACUGCAGCUCACUUCAUCUUCCUGUGCCUUCUCUGAAAGGCCUCCUCCAAAAGUUUCCUGGAUUGGACUAGUCUUGCCUUCACAAUCAAAACAUUUCUCUUAAGGAAAUCCUUCCCUCUACAUGGCAGUGGUGCUAAGACUCAACUUUAGCCAGUCAGAAUGGACACUGGCUGCAAACAACCAAGACUAUGAAGCAGAACUCGGACCUCUAGCGUCUGCUAGUCUAGAUCUAAAGGUGUUUCCUGAGGGACAGUUUGGCCUGGCAUGCAGGUACCUCUGCAGACCACAACAGCGCGCAGAAAACACUCCCUCCCAGCACGCACACGAGGCUGGCUCCUCAGCCAGACAGCAAACACCAACACUGCUGCCCAUGCCAGAUGCCAAGUGAGAUAAUGUGUGUGAUACCCUUAGUGUGUUACAAAGAGAAAAGAUUAAUAAACGUUAGCUAUCCUUAUCUUCAUUAUCUAA
Macaca mulatta (Rhesus monkey) is the source of this 833-nucleotide non-coding RNA. The record is from RefSeq and is a predicted model, not a curated record. Lineage: Eukaryota; Metazoa; Chordata; Mammalia; Primates; Cercopithecidae.